CCUACGGGAGGCAGCAGUGGGGAAUAUUGCACAAUGGGGGAAACCCUGAUGCAGCGACGCCGCGUGGGUGACGAAGUAUUUCGGUAUGUAAAGCUCUAUCAGCAGGGAAGAAGAUGACGGUACCUGACCAAGAAGCCCCGGCUAACUACGUGCCAGCAGCCGCGGUAAUACGUAGGGGGCAAGCGUUUUCCGGAUUUACUGGGUGUAAAGGGAGCGUAGGAGGCAAGGCAAGUCAGAAGUGAAAACCCGGGGCUUAACCCCGCGGACUGCUUUUGAAACUGUCAGGCUGGAGUGCAGGAGGGGUAAGUGGAAUUCCUAGUGUAGCGGUGAAAUGCGUAGAUAUCAGGAGGAACACCAGUGGCGAAGGCGGCUUGCUGGACUGUAACUGACAUUGAGGCUCGAAAGCGUGGGGAGCAAACAGGAUUAGAUACCCGAGUAGUC
This 441-nucleotide ribosomal RNA is filed under the name uncultured bacterium. RNAcentral describes it as "partial 16S ribosomal RNA". It matches the Rfam family "Bacterial small subunit ribosomal RNA", at positions 338 to 795 of the family's 1533-position model. The record is from RNAcentral.